GAUUGAACCAUGUCUAACAAAAUUCAACUUCUCCUUUCAGAUACAUUGUGUUCCGAAAAAGAAUCCACUGAGAGAGAAUCCAAUUCUCUCCUAGAUAUGUCACAAACUCAUUGGAUAAGUAUCCGCCUCCUCGAUCUGAUCGAAGAGUUCUAACAUCUUAUCCAGUUUGUUUCAAUCUUUCAUUAUUGAAUCAUUUGAACAUUUCAAAUGAUUCAGGCCAGAUGCACCCAUGCCCAGAUAGGUCAUCUGUAAUGAAAUAUUAAUAUCUUUCUCUGGCACUUAAGUUCACAGGUUC
This 295-nucleotide long non-coding RNA is filed under the name Elaeis guineensis (African oil palm). Its description in RNAcentral is "long non-coding RNA (EGUI_LNC081834)". Lineage: Eukaryota; Viridiplantae; Streptophyta; Magnoliopsida; Arecales; Arecaceae. The record is from RNAcentral.